CCCCCAUGCCUCCUUGGAACACCUUUGUUUCUCAUGUCACAUCAGCAUAGUCCUACAAACAAUGAAGGAAAAAGAGCAGACUGUAUGCAGUCUCAUUGGACAUCAAUUCAUUAGGACCACUAUUAUUUCUUGAGCCAGAACUUAUUUUCAUAAUUUUUAAAAAUGUACCAAUUUUAAUAAAACAGGUCUCAAAGAAUUAAUGAAGACAUUUAGUAUGACAUCAUUAAGAACUGUUCCAGGAACCUCGCCCAGGCAUUUGAUGGGCUGUCUGACCUUGAGCAAGCAAGCAAACUGGAAUUGGCCAGGAAUCAACGAAUUGCAAUCAGCUCCCACCAGGAUAAACCAGAAUUCUUUAUCUCCCUUACAAAUAUUGUGCUUUUAGGUAAGAUCCUCUAAGUCAAUACAUUAAGCUUUUACCCUUAUCUAGACAGAAAUUGGUAUAGUAUGAAAUCCUGUAGCUCUCAAUUUCUCUUGUUGGCAAAAUGGAAGUCAGUAGACUUGAGUUCUAACUCCAACAAAUGAUAUUCAGGUGAGACAUUUAUUAACUAUCCUGUGCCUCAGCUUCGCCACUUAUAAAAUAACUUACCAAUACCCAGUUUCCCUACCUUCCCAUUUCAGAGCAGAC
Molecule: long non-coding RNA, 625 nt
Filed under: Mustela putorius furo (domestic ferret)
Lineage: Eukaryota; Metazoa; Chordata; Mammalia; Carnivora; Mustelidae
Description: lncRNA (ENSMPUG00000024940.1)
Source: RNAcentral